Molecule: non-coding RNA, 29 nt
Filed under: Cricetulus griseus (Chinese hamster)
Lineage: Eukaryota; Metazoa; Chordata; Mammalia; Rodentia; Cricetidae
Source: RNAcentral
GAAAUGCUCCAACAGAGCAAGAUCCUGAA